Molecule: ribosomal RNA, 501 nt
Filed under: uncultured bacterium
Lineage: Bacteria
Description: partial 16S ribosomal RNA
Rfam family: Bacterial small subunit ribosomal RNA
Source: RNAcentral
AUUGAACGCUGGCGGCAGGCUUAACACAUGCAAGUCGAGCGGAGUGAGGGUGCUUGCACCUUAGCUUAGCGGCGGACGGGUGAGUAAUGCUUAGGAAUCUGCCUAUUAGUGGGGGACAACAUUCCGAAAGGGAUGCUAAUACCGCAUACGCCCUACGGGGGAAAGCAGGGGAUCUUCGGACCUUGCGCUAAUAGAUGAGCCUAAGUCGGAUUAGCUAGUUGGUGGGGUAAAGGCCUACCAAGGCGACGAUCUGUAGCGGGUCUGAGAGGAUGAUCCGCCACACUGGGACUGAGACACGGCCCAGACUCCUACGGGAGGCAGCAGUGGGGAAUAUUGGACAAUGGGCGGAAGCCUGAUCCAGCCAUGCCGCGUGUGUGAAGGAGGCCUUUUGGUUGUAAAGCACUUUAAGCGAGGAGGAGGCUACUAGUAUUAAUACUACUGGAUAGUGGACGUUACUCGCAGAAUAAGCACCGGCUAACUCUGUGCCAGCAGCCGCAGUAA